AUUGAAGAUAAUUUAGCUUACCUGCUUACCUAUUGUAAGUAGGUGUAGUAGGUAUAUAUUACUGCCAUCUUAUCAAGAUUAAUUUUGUUGUUAUCUACAUUUCAAGUAGACUUUGAAUUCCUUGAGGAAUUCCUAGACUAGAAUAUGCCAAAGGCGAUAGAAAGAAACUAUCUCGACCAAUAUUGACCUACGGUAGAGAGAGAGAUAAGAUAAGGGCCCCCCUGUCGCAUUUUGUAAAAUGUUUACUACGAGAGUAAAAAUGGCAGGUGUCGGAGAAGAGAUGUCAACGAGGGUAUUUACAGUGGAGAUCGGUUCCUAUUACUUGGCAGCAAGCCAAAUGGAAGUGGUAAAGUUGGUAUAGUCCUGCCACAGGUAAAGGUUUCGUCAAACUGACGUAGUGGAACUGUUUGUACAGCUAAAGAAACGUAGGUCUAGCGUACAGAAUGAAGUUUAACGAAGUAACGCAGAAUUGACACUCUUCCCGGAAGACCAGUAUUUCAAUUAAAUUGUCACAAUUGUAGUAUGAAUGUUCUGCAAGUCAGUGAUCAUUUCUCUGUAUUAAACAUCGAAUUGAACGCAGCUGACUUUAACCUACUUCCACGGAUUAAUAUGAAGGGUAGCAAAAUGACAGAGCCCUAUCGUGCCUGAUAAAUAAAUCGGAAACUAAAUAUACCACAGCAAGUUGUUUUAUUAUAAACCGUCGAU
Long non-coding RNA from Photinus pyralis (common eastern firefly), 705 nucleotides. RefSeq lists it as uncharacterized. The record is from RefSeq and is a predicted model, not a curated record. NCBI's taxonomy places the organism in Eukaryota, Metazoa, Arthropoda, Insecta, Coleoptera, Lampyridae. The transcript is spliced from 3 exons.